This 253-nucleotide ribosomal RNA is filed under the name uncultured bacterium. RNAcentral's name for it is "partial 16S ribosomal RNA". It matches the Rfam family "Bacterial small subunit ribosomal RNA", at positions 524 to 776 of the family's 1533-position model. The record is from RNAcentral.
UACAGAGGUGGCAAGCGUUGUUCGGAAUUACUGGGCGUAAAGGGCGCGUAGGCGGCCUUCUAAGUCAGACGUGAAAUCCCCCGGCUUAACCUGGGAACUGCGUCUGAUACUGGAGGGCUUGAGUGCGGGAGAGGGAUGUGGAAUUCCAGGUGUAGCGGUGAAAUGCGUAGAGAUGUGGAGGAACACCAGUGGCGAAGGCGGCUUUCUGGUCUGUAACUGACGCUGAGGCGCGAAAGCGUGGGGAGCAAACAGG